Molecule: ribosomal RNA, 253 nt
Filed under: uncultured bacterium
Lineage: Bacteria
Description: partial 16S ribosomal RNA
Rfam family: Bacterial small subunit ribosomal RNA
Source: RNAcentral
UACGAAGGGGGCUAGCGUUGCUCGGAAUUACUGGGCGUAAAGGGCGCGUAGGCGGACAGUUUAGUCAGAGGUGAAAGCCCAGGGCUCAACCUUGGAAUUGCCUUUGAUACUGGCUGUCUUGAGUUCGGGAGAGGUGAGUGGAAUGCCGAGUGUAGAGGUGAAAUUCGUAGAUAUUCGGCGGAACACCAGUGGCGAAGGCGGGUCUCUGGACAGUUCCUGACACUGAGGCACGAAGGCCAGGGGAGCAAACGGG